CACGUAAGGGGCGAGCGUUAUCCGGAUUCAUUGGGCGUAAAGCGCGCGCAGACGGCUGUCUAAGCGGGACCUCUAAUCUUGGGGCUCAACCCCAAGCCGGGUUCCGAACUGGGCGGCUCGGGUGUGGUAGAGGCAAGCGGGAUUCCCGGUGUAGCGGUGGAAUGCGCAGAUAUCGGGAAGAACACCGAUGGCGAAGGCAGCUUGCUGGGCCAUUACCGACGUUGAGGCGCGAAAGCUGGGGGAGCGAACA
This 250-nucleotide ribosomal RNA is filed under the name uncultured prokaryote. RNAcentral describes it as "partial 16S ribosomal RNA". It matches the Rfam family "Bacterial small subunit ribosomal RNA", at positions 524 to 774 of the family's 1533-position model. The record is from RNAcentral.